Molecule: non-coding RNA, 791 nt
Organism: Podarcis lilfordi (Lilford's wall lizard)
Lineage: Eukaryota; Metazoa; Chordata; Lepidosauria; Squamata; Lacertidae
Source: the annotation of a GenBank genome assembly
AGCAGUGUGGAAUGUGGAUGUGUGGUGUUUUACUGAUGAUAGUUUGGCUGUCAGCUGUGUAAUAUGAGGUAAUGCAUGUUCUUUGUACUUUUGUCCAUUUACUGUAUUUAUUUUUCCCAAUUUAAACUAUAAAAUGGUGAUUUUCUUGAGAGUACCCUUAAACUUUGUUUUUUAGAAGAAGAAAAAGCACUGGAUACAACUCUACAUCGAGAAAGGCAAACUGAAUUCUACUUUGUAUAUGCAGGUAGAUGUUUUUGUGGGUAGAAUUUAUUAAAUAUCACUCUGCCCCUGUGUACAGUCCAGGAAAGCUUUACCAUCUGGUUUUAUUGAACAGUGGAUAAAAAGCAUUUGGAAGAGUGUUGAGGCACAGAGUAUGUGCAACACUGUAACAGCCACAAACCCCUUCCUUCCUUCCUUCCUUCCUUCAAAAAAUCAUUGGUAUGUAAUGCAGUGAAAUGAAAGCUAAAGGAAACAUUCAUGAACUCUUGACUGUCACUAUAGCUGUUCCCUAUAAAGCAACCAAUAAAAUGAUACUAUAUAAUCUGGCUGUAUAGAGGUUUGCAGCAUUAGUCUCAUAAAACGGGAGAUACCUGGUAGGUAGGCAUGAUAUCUUUUAUGUAGCCAGCUUCACCAAGGUGUGUUUUUUUUCUUCUAGGAAAUGAAAUUUUUAAAAGCAGAUUUGUAGUUCAGCCACUGCAGAGUUAAAGUGAAAGGAUUUGGUGUUAUAUAAAGUAGGAUUUCUAUUCCAUACUCAGCCACCCCACCAGACCCAGAGCAAGAGGAAUCACAAG